ACUCAAAUGAAUUGACGGGGGCCCGCACAAGCAGCGGAGCAUGUGGUUUAAUUCGAAGCAACGCGAAGAACCUUACCUAGACUUGACAUCCAAAGAAUCUCGUAGAGAUACGGGAGUGCCCUUCGGGGAACUUUGAGACAGGUGGUGCAUGGUUGUCGUCAGCUCGUGUCGUGAGAUGUUGGGUUAAGUCCCGCAACGAGCGCAACCCCUAUUAUUAGUUGCUACCAUUAAGUUGAGCACUCUAGUGAGACUGCCCGGGUUAACCGGGAGGAAGGUGGGGAUGACGUCAAAUCAUCAUGCCCCUUAUGUCUAGGGCUACACACGUGCUACAAUGGGCAGUACAAAGAGACGCAAUACCGCGAGGUGGAGCAAAACUCAAAAACUGUUCUCAGUUCGGAUUGUAGGCUGCAACUCGCCUACAUGAAGCUGGAGUUGCUAGUAAUCGCGAAUCAGAAUGUCGCGGUGAAUACGUUCCCGGGCCUUGUACACACCGCCCGU
This 498-nucleotide ribosomal RNA is filed under the name uncultured bacterium. RNAcentral describes it as "partial 16S ribosomal RNA". It matches the Rfam family "Bacterial small subunit ribosomal RNA", at positions 899 to 1397 of the family's 1533-position model. The record is from RNAcentral.